This 101-nucleotide small RNA is filed under the name Marmota monax (woodchuck). The record is from RNAcentral. Lineage: Eukaryota; Metazoa; Chordata; Mammalia; Rodentia; Sciuridae.
GCUGGGUAUAGUGGCCCAUGCCUGUAAUCCCAGCACCUUGGGAAGCUGAAGCGGGAGGAUCAUGAGUUCAAAGCCAGCCUCGGCAAUAUAGUGAGACCCUA